This is a long non-coding RNA of Polypterus senegalus (gray bichir), 1358 nucleotides long. RefSeq lists it as uncharacterized. The transcript is spliced from 3 exons. Lineage: Eukaryota; Metazoa; Chordata; Cladistia; Polypteriformes; Polypteridae. The record is from RefSeq and is a predicted model, not a curated record.
GACUCUGCACCGAGUAAAAUCUCACAGGUGUCGGUCGACACGUUGUAUCUUCGACAUACUCGUACAGUACAGUAUCCGGGAGUUAACGUCUGAGAAAAAGAAGCCGACGGAGGACCGGCGACAUCCCGGAUACUAAGUGAGCAAUGAGCCGUCCGAUCAAACAGGUCUACCCUACCCUCUCUCUCUCAUGAGUCGCUCCUUCCUCUAGCAAUGUAGCAUUUGAAAAGGUUUCGCUUUCCAGAGCCGUGAACUUACGCAACUCCUCGAGGCCGCCGUCAGGGCAGGGCAGCAUUUCCAAAAUAAAAGAGGGGGGCGGAUACCUGGUAUUGGAAAUGAGCCCACUGGUAUUGUAAAGUGGAUCGAACCGAGCACUUGGUACUGAUCUUGAGCUGUCUGGUACUGUGACUAAUAGUAGGUGGGUCUCUGGUACAAUUUCAGGCGAAUGGUGUUAGACUUCAGGCAGAACCGCCCCCUUAGUCCCGUCCCUGGGCGUUCCUAAACUGUCUUUAAAACGGCAGCCAGCGUGAUACCCGGCUACAUGGCAGCAGGCGCAGGUAGAGAGCAGUGGCACAGAGGCGCAGAUAUUGAUACAUCAGCUCACAUCUUGUGGAAAAUGAUUCUGCAUUGGGGACACAGUUUGCAAGCCUGACACAAUACUGGGGUGCAGAUUGAAGAUUAGUAUUGCAGGUGAGCUGAUUGUACUUGAGGAUGCUUCUACCUGCCCACCUCAGACAGAUAUCUUGACCACCAGGAGCUCUUCAUUUCUUCCAGAUCAUGUCCGAGUCUUAUGGUGCAGCUGGCAUAGUCCUCUACAUAAAGGCCAUGAAUUGAACAAGACAUUUGUGCGAGUGCCCAUGAUGUGAGAUUUGACCUGUCAAGAUCUGUGGACAUCUUUCUGUCUUCAUAUUGUUAAUUUGCUUGAAACCAUGAAGAUUGGCAUUUGGUCAUUGAACGAGUAGGAUAACAUGACAAACAGCAUUUGAUUUUUGAAUGAGUAGGAACUUGUCUGUGUGGUCACUGCUGUGAACAUUGAAUAUGUCUGGAAACAUCUGGACAAUGCAGAGUAUGGACUAGGAAUAUGAAAGGCCAGUGAUGAAAUGGCAUGUUUCAUGUUGGGAUUUGCGGACAAAGGCACACAGUCACCCUCCAUCUGAACAGCAUUCUAAUGCUACACAAUGUGAGUGGUGUGCCAGGAAGCCACAGGACUGAAGUAGCUGAGUAAACUACAGUGGAGGGAAAAGGGUGGUGGAGAGGUGAAGGUUCACAGGGCAAAGGUGACACGACCAGGUAAUGAGAGCAGCAGGGAGCAGAUGGCUCUUCAUUGUGGAUCUGGAUGUGGAGAAGAGACAUGUGGAGGG